Molecule: ribosomal RNA, 362 nt
Filed under: Columbicola tasmaniensis
Lineage: Eukaryota; Metazoa; Arthropoda; Insecta; Psocodea; Philopteridae
Description: partial 12S ribosomal RNA
Source: RNAcentral
CCCUAUUAUUUGGAUUAAAAAGAAAUUAGGGAAUAAGGUUUCGCUGAAAACGAUCCAGGGUGGCGGUUUUCUUUAUUAUCAGAUAAAUGUGUUUUUUAAAAACGAAAUUACACGAAAAUCUUUCUUACUCUUGAAAAUUCAUCCUGUACACCGCCGUCUGAAGAGUCAACAAAAAAAGUUAACUCCUUUUCUAAAUAGAAGAAAUAAGUCAGGUAAGGUGCAGACUAUGAGUAAGAGAAAAUGCAUUUCUUUACUAUACAUCCAAGAAAAGAGUUGAAAAUUAUUUUUUAGGAGAAUUUGACAGUAAGAUUUUUUUAUAAAAAUAAUCUGAAUUUAUAACAAGAAAAUGCACACAUCGCCCG